GACGAACGCUGGCGGCGUGCUUAACACAUGCAAGUCGAACGGAAAGGCCCUUCGGGGUACUCGAGUGGCGAACGGGUGAGUAACACGUGGGUGAUCUGCCCUGCACUUUGGGAUAAGCCUGGGAAACUGGGUCUAAUACCGAAUAUGAUCAUGGCCUUCAUGGGUUGUGGUGGAAAGCUUUUGCGGUGUGGGAUGGGCCCGCGGCCUAUCAGCUUGUUGGUGGGGUAAUGGCCUACCAAGGCGACGACGGGUAGCCGGCCUGAGAGGGUGUCCGGCCACACUGGGACUGAGAUACGGCCCAGACUCCUACGGGAGGCAGCAGUGGGGAAUAUUGCACAAUGGGCGCAAGCCUGAUGCAGCGACGCCGCGUGAGGGAUGACGGCCUUCGGGUUGUAAACCUCUUUCAGCAGGGACGAAGCGCAAGUGACGGUACCUGUAGAAGAAGGACCGGCCAACUACGUGCCAGCAGCCGCGGCAAUACGUAGGGUCCGAGCGUUGUCCGGAAUUACUGGGCGUAAAGAGCUCGUAGGUGGUUUGUCGCGUUGUUCGUGAAAACUCACAGCUUAACUGUGGGCGUGCGGGCGAUACGGGCAGACUUGAGUACUGCAGGGGAGACUGAAAUUCCUGGUGUAGCGGUGGAAUGCGCAGAUAUCAGGAGGAACACCGGUGGCGAAGGCGGGUCUCUGGGCAGUAACUGACGCUGAGGAGCGAAAGCGUGGGGAGCGAACAGGAUUAGAUACCCUGGUAGUCCACGCCGUAAACGGUGGGUACUAGGUGUGGGUUUCCUUCCUUGGGAUCCGUGCCGUAGCUAACGCAUUAAGUACCCCGCCUGGGGAGUACGGCCGCAAGGCUAAAACUCAAAGAAAUUGACGGGGGCCCGCACAAGCGGCGGAGCAUGUGGAUUAAUUCGAUGCAACGCGAAGAACCUUACCUGGGUUUGACAUGCACAGGACGUGCCUAGAGAUAGGUAUUCCCUUGUGGCCUGUGUGCAGGUGGUGCAUGGCUGUCGUCAGCUCGUGUCGUGAGAUGUUGGGUUAAGUCCCGCAACGAGCCCAACCCUUAUCUUAUGUUGCCAGCGCGUAAUGGCGGGGACUCGUGAGAGACUGCCGGGGUCAACUCGGAGGAAGGUGGGGAUGACGUCAAGUCAUCAUGCCCCUUAUGUCCAGGGCUUCACACAUGCUACAAUGGCCGGUACAAAGGGCUGCGAUGCCGUGAGGUGGAGCGAAUCCUUUCAAAGCCGGUCUCAGUUCGGAUCGGGGUCUGCAACUCGACCCCGUGAAGUCGGAGUCGCUAGUAAUCGCAGAUCAGCAACGCUGCGGUGAAUACGUUCCCGGGCCU
RNAcentral lists this ribosomal RNA (1338 nucleotides) under uncultured bacterium. Its description in RNAcentral is "bacterial SSU rRNA". It matches the Rfam family "Bacterial small subunit ribosomal RNA", at positions 28 to 1381 of the family's 1533-position model. The record is from RNAcentral.